Molecule: ribosomal RNA, 497 nt
Filed under: uncultured bacterium
Lineage: Bacteria
Description: partial 16S ribosomal RNA
Rfam family: Bacterial small subunit ribosomal RNA
Source: RNAcentral
GAUGAACGCUGGCGGCGUGCCUAAUACAUGCAAGUCGAGCGAACAGACGAGGAGCUUGCUCCUCUGACGUUAGCGACGGACGGGUAAGUAACAAGUAGAUAGCCUACAUAUAAGACUUAGAUAACGUCGGGAAACCGGAGCUAAUGCCAGGUAAUAUAUUGAACCGCAUGGUGCAAGAGUGAAAGACGGUUUUGCUGUCACUUAUAGAUGGAUCCGCGCGGCAUUAGCUAGUUGGUACGGUAACGGCUUACCAAGGCGACGAUGCGUAGCCGACCUGAGAGGGUGAUCGGCCACACUGGAACGGAGACACGGUCCAGACUCCUAAGGGAGGCAGCAGUAGGGAAUCGUACGCAAUGGGCGAAAGCCUGACGGAGCAACGCCGCGUGAGUGAUGAAGGUCCUCGGAUCGUAAAACUCUGUUACUAGGGAAGAACAAAUGUGUAAGUAACUAUGCACGUCUUGACGGUACCUAAUCAGAAAGCCACGGCUAACUACGUG